GAGUUUGAUCGUGGCUCAGAUUGAACGCUGGCGGAAUGCUUUACACAUGCAAGUCGAGCGGCAGCGCGGGGCAACCUGGCGGCGAGCGGCGAACGGGUGAGUAAUGCAUCGGAACAUGUCCAUGGAUGGGGGAUAGCCCGGCGAAAGCCGGAUUAAUACCGUCAUGAGCCCGAAGAGGGGAAAGUGGGGGACCGCAAGGCCUCACGUCGAUGGGUUGGCCGAUGUCCGAUUAGCUAGUUGGUGGGUAAAGGCCUACCAAGGCGAUGAUCGGUAGCUGGUCUGAGAGGAUGAUCAGCCACACUGGGACUGAGACACGGCCCAGACUCCUACGGGAGGCAGCAGUGGGGAAUUUUGGACAAUGGGGCAACCCUGAUCCAGCCAUUCCGCGUGAGUGAAGAAGGCC
RNAcentral lists this ribosomal RNA (403 nucleotides) under uncultured beta proteobacterium. Its description in RNAcentral is "bacterial SSU rRNA". It matches the Rfam family "Bacterial small subunit ribosomal RNA", at positions 9 to 416 of the family's 1533-position model. The record is from RNAcentral. Lineage: Bacteria; Pseudomonadati; Pseudomonadota; Betaproteobacteria.